GUGACUGUAUAAAUCCAUCAACAAUAAAUCUUAGGGAUGAUCAGUGGAGUGCAUCGACAGAAUAUGGUUCUUAUACUGCACAAGAAGGCAAUCUAAAUGGAGUUGGAUGGGGAACAUUAACGUAUGACAAGUUCCAGUACCUUAAAAUUGACCUAAAUGGUGUAUGGCAGAUUACAGGGAUAUUGUUUAGUCGGAUAAAUAAUGGCUGGUACACCAAGACCUUACGGGUUUUGUACAGUGAAAACAAUUUUGAAUGGAUUCCUUACAACUCUCGUCUGUCUAGUAAUGUGUUUGGGGAAGAGUUUGAUAGAACUGGU
Mytilus californianus (California mussel) is the source of this 317-nucleotide long non-coding RNA. RefSeq lists it as uncharacterized. The record is from RefSeq and is a predicted model, not a curated record. The transcript has 3 exons. Lineage: Eukaryota; Metazoa; Mollusca; Bivalvia; Mytilida; Mytilidae.